This 425-nucleotide ribosomal RNA is filed under the name uncultured bacterium. Its description in RNAcentral is "partial 16S ribosomal RNA". It matches the Rfam family "Bacterial small subunit ribosomal RNA", at positions 354 to 796 of the family's 1533-position model. The record is from RNAcentral.
GUGGGGAAUAUUGGGCAAUGGGCGAAAGCCUGACCCAGCAACGCCGCGUGAAGGAAGAAGGUCUUCGGAUCGUAAACUUCUAUCCUUGGUGAAGAUAAUGACGGUAGCCGAGAAGGAAGCCCCGGCUAACUACGUGCCAGCAGCCGCGGUAAUACGUAGGGGGCAAGCGUUGUCCGGAAUGAUUGGGCGUAAAGGGCGCGUAGGCGGCCUGGUAAGUCUGGAGUGAAAGUCCUGCUUUUAAGGUGGGAAUUGCUUUGGAUACUGUCGGGCUUGAGUGCAGGAGAGGUAAGUGGAAUUCCCGGUGUAGCGGUGAAAUGCGUAGAGAUCGGGAGGAACACCAGUGGCGAAGGCGACUUACUGGACUGUAACUGACGCUGAGGCGCGAAAGUGUGGGGAGCGAACGGGAUUAGAUACCCUGGUAGUCC